AUGCACGCUGGCGGCGUGCUUAACCCAUGCAAGUCGCACGAAGCACUUUAUUUGAUUUCCUUCGGGACUGAUUAUUUUGUGACUGAGUGGCGGACGGGUGAGUAACGCGUGGGUAACCUGCCUUGUACAGGGGGAUAACAGUUGGAAACGGCUGCUAAUACCGCAUAAGCGCACAGCAUCGCAUGAUGCAGUGUGAAAAACUCCGGUGGUAUAAGAUGGACCCGCGUUGGAUUAGCUAGUUGGUGAGGUAACGGCCCACCAAGGCGACGAUCCAUAGCCGACCUGAGAGGGUGACCGGCCACAUUGGGACUGAGACACGGCCCAAACUCCUACGGGAGGCAGCAGUGGGGAAUAUUGCACAAUGGGCGAAAGCCUGAUGCAGCGACGCCGCGUGAGCGAAGAAGUAUUUCGGUAUGUAAAACUCUAUCAGCAGGGAAGAUAAUGACGGUACCUGACUAAGAAGCACCGGCUAAAUACGUG
Molecule: ribosomal RNA, 480 nt
Filed under: uncultured bacterium
Lineage: Bacteria
Description: partial 16S ribosomal RNA
Rfam family: Bacterial small subunit ribosomal RNA
Source: RNAcentral